GUUGAAAAGCACUCUGAAGAGAGAGUUAAAAGACCGUGAAACCGCUCAGAGUAUAAGCCAAUGGUUUUCGGAAGGCAGGGUCUAGAUUUCCUCUCUUGGUCUUCGGGCCGAGAGUUGGAGUCUAUCGUGUAAGUAGAGAUCAGAAGGCGCCGAGUGGCAGUGGCAUUGAGUUGAUAACACACCCGAAAAUGGUAUUUGCGGGUCCCAGAGACUUUUGUAACGAUGGAAGCUCCGUCUGUGGAGUGGAUAUCCUUUGGACUUCAGCAAGCCGGCGUUUAUCGCAUUUACUAACGAGUUGACUACAUACUGCCCACCACAACUCUUUACGAGGUCAGGCACGCAGGACGUGGCUUUGAUGGUGCUCUGCGCGUUCACAAAAGCACAGGGUUCUAGUGUACCGUCGGAUGCACAGCCCGGUAGCGCGCGUCUCUAGCGCCCGGGUGACCCUGUGCCGGCAGGCGCUUCCACGUCCAUCCAGAAAGCGUGACACUCUUUGAUCCUCUGUGAAGGUUGCUAUUCUGACUACCCUCAUACCUGCAUUCGCAGCCGUGAUGGCUGCGAUGAAGAGACUUCAGUAGUGCGGGCGUAACUCCAAUGAUUUGUCGAAGGCUCCUGCUAGUUAGCAGGGGCUGGAGGCGAUGAGGGGUGUCAGGACGAACAUAGUCUCUGUUGGUGACGGGGUGAUUGG
This 688-nucleotide ribosomal RNA is filed under the name Paramoera koysama. RNAcentral's name for it is "partial 28S ribosomal RNA". Lineage: Eukaryota; Metazoa; Arthropoda; Malacostraca; Amphipoda; Pontogeneiidae. The record is from RNAcentral.